GUCUACGGCCAUACCACCCUGAACGCGCCCGAUCUCGUCUGAUCUCGGAAACUAAGCAGGGUCGGGCCUGGUUAGUACUUGGAUGGGAGAGAGUGAAGGAAACACUAAAUU
RNAcentral lists this ribosomal RNA (111 nucleotides) under Piliocolobus tephrosceles (Ugandan red Colobus). The record is from RNAcentral. Lineage: Eukaryota; Metazoa; Chordata; Mammalia; Primates; Cercopithecidae.